UGCGCAGGCGGUUGUGCAAGACAGAUGUGAAAUCCCCGGGCUCAACCUGGGAACUGUAUUUGUGACUGUACGACUAGAGUGCGGCAGAGGGGGAGUGGAAUUCCGCGUGUAGCAGUGAAAUGCGUAGAUAUGCGGAGGAACACCGAUGGCGAAGGCAAUCCCCUCGGGCCUGCACUGACGCUCAUGCACGAAAGCGUGGGGAGCAAACA
RNAcentral lists this ribosomal RNA (209 nucleotides) under uncultured bacterium. RNAcentral's name for it is "partial 16S ribosomal RNA". It matches the Rfam family "Bacterial small subunit ribosomal RNA", at positions 568 to 774 of the family's 1533-position model. The record is from RNAcentral.